Molecule: ribosomal RNA, 253 nt
Filed under: uncultured bacterium
Lineage: Bacteria
Description: partial 16S ribosomal RNA
Rfam family: Bacterial small subunit ribosomal RNA
Source: RNAcentral
UACAGAGGGGGCAAGCGUUAUUCGGAAUUAUUGGGCGUAAAGGGCGCGUAGGCGGCUUGGCAAGUGGAUGGUGAAAUCCCUGGGCUCAACCCAGGAACUGCGUCCAAGACUGGGAGGCUUGAAUCCGGGAGAGGGAUGCGGAAUUCCAGGUGUAGCGGUGAAAUGCGUAGAUAUCUGGAGGAACACCGGUGGCGAAGGCGGCAUCCUGGACCGGUAUUGACACUGAGGCGCGAAAGCCAGGGGAGCAAACGGG